RNAcentral lists this ribosomal RNA (426 nucleotides) under uncultured bacterium. RNAcentral describes it as "bacterial SSU rRNA". It matches the Rfam family "Bacterial small subunit ribosomal RNA", at positions 356 to 773 of the family's 1533-position model. The record is from RNAcentral.
GGGGAAUUUUCCGCAAUGGGCGAAAGCCUGACGGAGUGAUGCCGCGUGGGGGAUGAAGGCCUUCGGGUUGUAAACCCCUGUCAGAGGGAAAGAAGGGCCGGCGUGUGAAUAGCGCGUCGGUCUGACGGUACCUUCAGAGCAAGCCCCGGCCAACUCUGUGCCAGCAGCCGCGGUAAGACAGAGGGGGCAAGCGUUGCUCGGAAUCACUGGGCGUAAAGGGCGCGUAGGCGGGAUGACAAGUCGGUCGUGAAAUCCCUGGGCUCAACUCAGGGGGGUCGGCCGAUACUGCCAUUCUUGAGGGAUGCAGAGGAGACUGGAAUUCCCGGUGUAGCGGUGAAAUGUGUAGAGAUCGGGAGGAACACCGGUGGCGAAGGCGGGUCUCUGGGCAUUCCCUGACGCUGAGGCGCGAAAGCGUGGGGAGCAAAC